ACCAUGCCAGGGUUGAAUGGCACCAAGCCGUGGGUACCGGGAGAUGACUUCGAGGGGGAACCAGGAUGAACCAGAGGAGCAGGCGGACGUCAUCGGCCACACCCACAAGUGCUGAUGCGAGCCGCAACGGUGGCUGCUGAUCGACAGCUUGCACCUAUCCUAAACUUGUAAGGUGCCCUAGAGAUGAUAGAGAAAGGGUGGUUGGUUCAGCUUGACUUCCUCCACUUGGACGUCGGGUACAAGAACGACUAUGAGAAUGUCCUCAAGGCGGUGACAGCGGUGAUGGCACCUCGGUUAGAUGAAGGAAUGUCAGGGCGCCCAGGUAGAGGACGGUGACUUCCUCCUCCUCCACUUGGAUGAUGCCGCCGCCGGGGACAAGAACAAACGACUAGAUUUUCUUGCUGCCACUUGUCUUGAAUAUGGACGGUGCCUUCGAGCUGAAAAAUGGGUGGCCGAGUUGCUGCUGCUACUUAGGCUUUCAUACGAUGGGAUGUUGUUGUUGACCGCUUCAACACGCCGAAGGUUCAGGUUUGGGUGCAGUGGUGCUUGUAUAGCCCACUGCCGGUAGCGGCGGUGAUGGCGUUGCAUGAAGGUCUAGGAGGGUGCCUAGGUACAUAACGACGACUUCCUCCUCCACUGGGGCGCACGCUGCCUCCUGGGACAAAAACAAACCACUAGGUGCCUCCUGCUGCCUACCAUUUACUGACUGAUUAUUCCAUGGCUGCCUAUCUUGCAACGCAAUCUUGUUUGGUGGUUGUGAUCUUACUUUGUUGCUUGUAGGUUGGGGUCUUGAAUGUUUGUUUUUAGUAUACUUAAGUUCAUACACCUCUUUUUGCUACAUAAAUGGGACUGUUUCUACUUAAUUGUAUGUGUUAAAUUGACUAUAGUAGUUCAUCUUUCGAGUAAACGAGAACCUGUAUACUAAUUCUGGAGUAAGCAUGCUGUACAUGAUAAUCUUAGGUUCCUUGUGUGGCAGAAACUAAAUUAAUGUCCUCUUGUCGUGAAUAAAUCUCCACUUCAUGCAUAUUUACAAAGGCAGUAGCACUAGUAAUUCUAGAUACAUUAACAGUUUGAGUAUUCUACUGUAAUUAUUCUCUUCAUUUGUGAUAACAAAAUUUCUUGCUUUCACUUUUCCUCAAUUUGGAGGGUGCCUUGGGCUAAAUAAUGGGUGGCGGUCGGUUGAGGACGAAUUCCUCCACUCGGACAUUGUCGCGAAUAAGAAUGACUU
Molecule: long non-coding RNA, 1228 nt
Organism: Lolium rigidum
Lineage: Eukaryota; Viridiplantae; Streptophyta; Magnoliopsida; Poales; Poaceae
Exons: 5
Source: RefSeq, a predicted model, not a curated record